UCCAACUCUGAGUUGAUUUGAAUAGAAUACAAUUGAUAAACAUGAUUUCUAGGUCAGUCUUUUUUCGUCUUUGUUUUGGUUUUGAUUUUAUGCUUUUUUCUUUUUUGAAUAAGAAGUAGAAUUAGAAGUAGAAUACUAAUGCUAAACUAAAGUAUCUGUUUUAAAUACCUGGAGUUCCCAAGUGAUAUUUCCCUCUAGCAAUAUUCUGAAAAGUGUCUAAAUCCACAUACCCAGGGUCAUGUGGAGGCAUGAGUAUUAUUAGUUAGACAGUACUAGUGGUUUAGUGCUCUGUAAGCCUGAUCUAUUCCCAGGUGCAUAUAAUUCUUACCCAAAUUUGGGGGAAUAUAUAUCUAACCUGAAUCUUUGUAUACAGAUUUGCCUCCCUUGUUCCUAGUCUUGUUCUCCUGACAAUGGUUUCUGCUUCUAUGUUACAGAAAAGAAGAAGAAAAGCUCAACCAGGAAAAAAAGGCUUCUGUUUCUUUAGAAUACACAGACUAACAUUCUUACAUGGAAGCUGAAGAUUUCCCAGAACAAGAACCCUAAGAUAAGCUGGAGUUAAUGGAAGCUUUUCUUUGGCUUUUUCAGUUGUGACCUGCCUUCCAACCAACACUGCAGUAUAUAACCACCUAGACCAGCAACGUUCCUCUGGAGCCAGCAUAGGGCCCUUCUUGAGUAAAUACCACCAGACUCACAAACAGCUCUGUUACUAAGGUUUUAUUUAAUUUCAGAGUGCAAAUAUUUUUCAAAUGCUCACUAGGUUUUAUAUACUAAGAAGCUAUAUUUUUGCCCUUAAACACUCCUUGAGGAUUAUGAUUUAUAUUCACAUAUAUUGGCUCAAAUGAGAUAAAAACCAAACUAUUAUGUUUACUUUGAUAUAUUAAUUUCUUUAGAGCAGCAUUUUAGCUACUAAAGUUAACAUGUUUAUUCUUUCUUUCUCACCUGCUCGAUUAAAAGGUGAGCUAAUUCUCUCAACCGUUUUGAUUAAUUAACAGAAAAUCCUAAAUUCAAACUGUUAAAGAACAGUUUGAUUUUUCUGACUCUCCUUAAGUAUGAGACACAUCUUAUUUUAUUCAAUUUCUUUCAAUACCCUAGAUGGCAGGGUUUUGUUUUUGGUCAGUUGACCUAGGGUUUACAGUAGCACAAGCCGAAACCACAGAGUAACUAGGGAAGGUGACACCAAUGCUAAUAGAUCGACUAAUGCCACCUCAGGAUGAAACGCUUGUCACCUUUUUUCUGUGCUCUGAUAAGUGAUCAACAGCUCUGAUUUUUCAUGAGCAGUGAAUGACUGUUUAGAUUACUAUAUUCCCCACUUCCAAUUCAAUUAUUUAUAACAAAAUAAUUUAGAGCAAAAUCUAUGCUCAUUUGUAGACUGGAAUCAUUACGCAGUUAAACAGAAGGAUUCUGAAGUAGUAUAUUACAAUUUAAGAAUUUAGGGGUAAUGAAAAAAA
RNAcentral lists this long non-coding RNA (1448 nucleotides) under Capra hircus (goat). Its description in RNAcentral is "lncRNA (ENSCHIG00010004770.1)". The record is from RNAcentral. Lineage: Eukaryota; Metazoa; Chordata; Mammalia; Artiodactyla; Bovidae.